Molecule: long non-coding RNA, 666 nt
Filed under: Coturnix japonica (Japanese quail)
Lineage: Eukaryota; Metazoa; Chordata; Aves; Galliformes; Phasianidae
Description: lncRNA (ENSCJPG00005012318.1)
Source: RNAcentral
AGCUCCUCUUUUGGCUUUUCAUCUUUCCAUACCAUGAGAAUGGCAACUGCAUGACAGAAACACGAGUCCAGGAUGGAGAAACAGGUUCUAUGAUGUUAUAGCCGGGACCCUGCACAACUGAGGAAUGCAUCCAGCAUUUGAUGAAGGAGUGAAUCUGGUCACACAGGGAUGAAUAUACACAGGGGAUAUUUCUCUGCAAAUGAGGUGUUACAUAUAUCUAACUCCACAGUCUAUGGAAAGAAAAUAAAUUCAAGUAAUGGGGGAAAAGAGGAUAAAAUCAGAACAAUUGGAUUUUCUGUUGCUGGUCAGAUGCAGCCUGUGAGUCAAUGGGAAAGUGAGGGAGGCAGCCUAUUUUCCUGCCACUAUUGACAGCUCAGCACCCCGAGCAGCUGCACUGUCCCCAGACAUUUGGCAAAGUUGCCUUCAGGAUUAUUUCUGUUCUCAUCAUCAAACCCCUUUAUCCUAUCAACCUAUUAGCAAUUGGAUACUUUGCUUUAUGUUCAGUUAUGUUCCCAGAGAAAGAACAAGUUAUAAAAGUGCCUCUCGGACUAACAUCUAAUGUAUUUCUUGAUGAAUUGCAGCCUGGUAGACUACAUGGAAGGUUUUGAAAAGUAAAGUCUAUAAAGCUUUUCAAUAAAAUAAUGCUGUAAUAUACUUUUCUCUCCA